RNAcentral lists this ribosomal RNA (442 nucleotides) under uncultured bacterium. RNAcentral's name for it is "partial 16S ribosomal RNA". It matches the Rfam family "Bacterial small subunit ribosomal RNA", at positions 338 to 795 of the family's 1533-position model. The record is from RNAcentral.
CCUACGGGGGGCAGCAGUAGGGAAUCUUUCACAAUGGGCGAAAGCCUGAUGGAGCAACGCCGCGUGCAGGAUGAAGGCCUUCGGGUUGUAAACUGCUUUUAUAAGCGAGAAAUAUGAUGGUAACUUAUGAAUAAGGAUCGGCUAACUACGUGCCAGCAGCCGCGGUCAUACGUAGGAUCCGAGCAUUAUCCGGAGUGACUGGGUGUAAAGAGUUGCGUAGGUGGCAUAAUAAGUAGCUAGUGAAAUCUGGUGGCUCAACCAUUCAGACUAUUAGCUAAACUGUUAAGCUCGAGACCGUUAGGGGUAACUGGAAUUUCUAGUGUAGGAGUGAAAUCCGUAGAUAUUAGAAGGAACACCAAUAGCGUAGGCAGGUUGCUGGGACGGUUCUGACACUAAGGCACGAAAGCGUAGGGAGCAAACGGGAUUAGAUACCCCAGUAGGC